UACGUAGGGGGCAAGCGUUGUCCGGAAUCUUUGGGCGUAAAGCGCGUGUAGGCGGCCAGAAAAGUCCGCUGUGAAAACUCGAGGCUCAACUUCGAGCUGUCGGUGGAAACUUUCUGGCUAGAGUCCGGAAGAGGAGAAUGGAAUUCCUGGUGUAGCGGUGAAAUGCGCAGAUAUCAGGAAGAACACCCGUGGCGAAGGCGGUUCUCUGGGACGGUACUGACGCUGAGACGCGAAAGCGUGGGGAGCGAACAGG
This 253-nucleotide ribosomal RNA is filed under the name uncultured bacterium. Its description in RNAcentral is "partial 16S ribosomal RNA". It matches the Rfam family "Bacterial small subunit ribosomal RNA", at positions 524 to 776 of the family's 1533-position model. The record is from RNAcentral.